UUCAUAAUCACUUGGAAUCUGGUGUAAUUUUCUUGAUUAUAACAGCUUCAGGUCUUGUUGCAACAUAUUGCCAUUCAUUUCUUGAAUAUGAUGCUUUGUAUUAUGUCUGAGUGAGGCGAUGCCCAUCAGUUGUGUCAAAAAAGAACAUUUUGUUAACGUGUCCGACAGCACCGGCCGUCACAUCGUACCUGUGAAGGCACAGCGAGGAGCUGCAUCAUUUCCUACCAGGACUGUCUCAGUUUUUAACAAACCCUAAGUUACAUCAUCAAGUAUGACUGAAACUGUGAUAACGAUGCAAUCCCACGCAGAGUUCUAAAGGCUUCGGAAUAUCAGAGACCAACUGCUGCAAGGAAAACACAAAUCCAAAACAUAAGAAGUACACUAUAGUGGGCUUUAGAAAGCAUUUUGAGCCUAACAUGUUGGAAACUGUCUCCCCUCCUGGAAGGUAACACGGCGGGUGGAGUUAUACUCCUCUACUUGACACAAGAUCACUGAAGGAGCUUCAAC
Molecule: long non-coding RNA, 507 nt
Organism: Gasterosteus aculeatus aculeatus (three-spined stickleback)
Lineage: Eukaryota; Metazoa; Chordata; Actinopteri; Perciformes; Gasterosteidae
Source: Ensembl